This 152-nucleotide small nucleolar RNA is filed under the name Echinops telfairi (small Madagascar hedgehog). RNAcentral's name for it is "Small nucleolar RNA SNORA61 (ENSETEG00000025577.1)". The record is from RNAcentral. Lineage: Eukaryota; Metazoa; Chordata; Mammalia; Afrosoricida; Tenrecidae.
ACCCUCCAGAAUCCUGACCCCUGAGAUCUAAACAUUGGUCUGAGUGGUUCCCAAAGGAGGAAAAGUGAAGCUGAAACAGGCUUAGACGUGCCCCUGUGGGUUUCCGAGGCUGUACAUUUUUACGGAAGCACAAAGCCUCGUCUCUCUCUUGC